This 402-nucleotide unclassified non-coding RNA is filed under the name uncultured fungus. RNAcentral describes it as "partial contains 5.8S ribosomal RNA and internal transcribed spacer 2". The stretch from base 1 to 133 matches the Rfam family "5.8S ribosomal RNA", at positions 22 to 154 of the family's 154-position model. The record is from RNAcentral. Lineage: Eukaryota; Fungi.
UGGCUCUCGCAUCGAUGAAGAACGCAGCGAAAUGCGAUAAGUAAUGUGAAUUGCAGAAUUCAGUGAAUCAUCGAAUCUUUGAACGCACCUUGCGCUCCUUGGUAUUCCGAGGAGCAUGCCUGUUUGAGUCUCAUGAAAUUCUCAACCCACCCCGCUUUUGUGGGGUUCGGGCUUGGAUUUGGGGGUCGCUUUUUUGCUUGCUGGUCAAACCUCAUUGAUCGGCUCCCCUUGAAGGCAUUAGCCCAGGACCUUUUUGCCUCCCGGUCAGUUUCACGGUGUGAUAGUCUAUCAACGCCGAUGUGGCUGGUGUCUGGUGUGGCAUAGUCACGGUCCGGCUCUCUAAAAGGACUUGAAUGUCCAUUUCAUCAAUCUGAGCUCAAAUCAGGUAGGACUACCCGCUGA